Molecule: transfer RNA, 71 nt
Filed under: Camelus bactrianus (Bactrian camel)
Lineage: Eukaryota; Metazoa; Chordata; Mammalia; Artiodactyla; Camelidae
Also listed under: 2 other names
Rfam family: tRNA
About the family: Transfer RNA (tRNA) molecules are approximately 80 nucleotides in length. Their secondary structure includes four short double-helical elements and three loops (D, anti-codon, and T loops).
Source: Rfam by way of RNAcentral
GAGGGUAUAGCUCAGUGGUGGAGUGCAUGCUUAGCAUGCACGAGGUCCUGGGUUCAAUCCCCAGUACCUCA